RNAcentral lists this unclassified non-coding RNA (219 nucleotides) under plant metagenome. Its description in RNAcentral is "partial contains small subunit ribosomal RNA, internal transcribed spacer 1, and 5.8S ribosomal RNA". The record is from RNAcentral.
UCUCCGUUGGUGAACCAGCGGAGGGAUCAUUAUCGAGUUUAUAACUCCCAAACCCUAUGUGAACUUACCACUUGUUGCUUCGGCGCGCGCUUCGGCGCCGCCGAGGACACUUAAACUCUUUGUUUUUAUAAGCAUUUCUGAGUGGCCGAAAGGCAAAAUACAAAUGAAUCAAAACUUUCAACAACGGAUCUCUUGGUUCUGGCAUCGAUGAAACGCAGC